RNAcentral lists this ribosomal RNA (858 nucleotides) under Trigonidiinae sp. DPM-2011. RNAcentral describes it as "bacterial SSU rRNA". It matches the Rfam family "Eukaryotic small subunit ribosomal RNA", at positions 917 to 1774 of the family's 1831-position model. The record is from RNAcentral. Lineage: Eukaryota; Metazoa; Arthropoda; Insecta; Orthoptera; Trigonidiidae.
UUCUUGGAUCGUCGCAAGACGAACUGCAGCGAAAGCGUUUGCCAAGUAUGUUUUCUUUAAUCAAGAACGAAAGUUAGAGGUUCGAAGGCGAUCAGAUACCGCCCUAGUUCUAACCAUAAACUAUGCCAUCUAGCGAUCCGCUGUGUGUCUUAGAUGUCACGGCGGGCAGCCCCCGGGAAACCAAAGAUUUUGGGUUCCGGGGGAAGUAUGGUUGCAAAGCUGAAACUUAAAGGAAUUGACGGAAGGGCACCACCAGCCGUGGGGCUUGCGGUUUAAUUUGACUCAACGCGGGGUAUCCUACCAGGCCCGGACACUCGAAGGAUUGACAGAUUGAGAGCUCUUUCUUGAUUGGGUGCGUGGUGGUGCAUGGCCGUUCUUCGUUGGUGAAGCGAUUUGUCUGCUUAAUUGCGAUAACGAACGAGACUCUAGCCUGCUAACUAGUCGGUACCGGCAUCCUAUGUGCAGCCGGCGACAAUAUAUCUUCUUAGAGGGACAAGUGGUGUCUAGCCACACGAGAUUGAGCAAUAACAGGUCUGUGAUGCCCUUAGAUGUUCUGGGCCACACGCGUGCCACACUGAAGGAAUCAACGUGUGUAUUCCUGUCCUGAGAAGGUUGGGUAACCCGUUGAAAUUCCUUCGUGCUAGGGAUUGGGGCUUGAAAUUUUUUCCCACGAACGAGGAAUGCCUAGUAAGCGUGAGUCAUAAUCUCGCGUUGAUUAUGUCCCUGCCCUUUGUCCACACCGCCCGUCGCUACUACCGAUUGAAUGAUUUGGUGAGGUCUCCGGACUCGUGCGCGGCUCUCGGUUCUUCGGAAUCGAGGGAUCGAUGUCGCGGGAAAGUUGACCGAACUUGAUUAUUU